GAAUUUAAGCCCCAGUAAACGGCGGUGGUAACUAUAACCAUCCUAAGGUAGCGAAAUUCCUUGUCGGGUAAGUUCCGACCUGCACGAAUGGCGUAACGACUUCUCCGCUGUCUCAACCGCGAACUCGGUGAAAUUGCAGUACGAGUAAAGAUGCUCGUUUCGCGCAGAAGGACGGAAAGACCCCGGGACCUUUACUAUAGCUUGGUAUUGGUGUUCGCUUGGACUUGUGUAGGAUAGGUGGGAGACUGUGAAGCUGCCGCGCCAGCGGUGGUGGAGUCGUCGUUGAAAUACCAUUCUGGUUCAAGCGGUCACCUCAACCUUGGCCCGUGAUCCGGGUUGGGGACAGUGCCUGGUGGGUAGUUUAACUGGGGCGGUUGCCUCCUAAAAUGUAACGGAGGCGCUCAAAGGUUCCCUCAGCCUGGUUGGUAAUCAGGUGGCGAGUGCAAGUGUACAAGGGAGCUUGACUGUGAGACCGACGGGUCGAGCAGGUGCGAAAGCAGGAACUAGUGAUCCGGCCAUGGCACGUGGGUGCGUGGUCGCUCAACGGAUAAAAGGUACCCCGGGGAUAACAGGCUGAUCUUGCCCAAGAGUCCAUAUCGACGGCAUGGUUUGGCACCUCGAUGUCGGCUCGUCGCAUCCUGGGGCUGGAGUCGGUCCCAAGGGUUGGGCUGUUCGCCCAUUAAAGCGGUACGCGAGCUGGGUUCAGAACGUCGUGAGACAGUUCGGUCCCUAUCCUCUGUGCGCGCAGGAAAUUUGAGAAGGGCCGUCCCUAGUACGAGAGGACCGGGAUGGACGAACCUCUGGUGUGCCAGUUGUACCGCCAGGUGCAUGGCUGGUUAGCUACGUUCGGAAGGGAUAACCGCUGAAAGCAUCUAAGCGGGAAGCCUGCUUCAAGAUGAGGUUUCCACGCCCCCCUGUGGGGUGAGAGGCCCCCGCCAGACUAGCGGGUAGAUAGGCCAGAGGUGGAAGCACCGCAAGGUGCUCGUGAGCCGACUGGUACUAAUGGGCCAACACUAAACAAC
This 1022-nucleotide ribosomal RNA is filed under the name human oral metagenome. RNAcentral describes it as "bacterial LSU rRNA". It matches the Rfam family "Bacterial large subunit ribosomal RNA", at positions 1909 to 2925 of the family's 2925-position model. The record is from RNAcentral.